AUAUUCUGUGAUAAAGUAAUCCAUAUGAAAACAACGCGAUGUCCGUUUUUCACGUCUCCCUUCAUUAUCUUCUAAUGCGACCACGCCCCCGCGCCGAGCGCGCUUUUGAGAUUCAAAUGUUUCACUGAAGCGCGCGGCUUUUGAAUACGCCCACACAACAGAAGACAACGCAGCGAGACUGUUCUUCAAGUUUUUAUUAUUUUACUGUUUGCUUCGCGAUGAGAGGAAUAAGACAUAAUUCACCCCAAAAAGAUGUGAUGUGGUUGAGGAUUUGAGAUUUGGAUUUCCUCAGAAAAAAGAAUGAAGCACUUUAUUCAGCAGAGAGCAAAAAAAAAUUCUAGGCUACAAGCUCCAGUUCUCAAAAUUCCUGGGAACCAAUUUUCUGUAUGUGUUUUAUUGCCUUAUUCAAGUGAUUUAACAUUUUUAGUUUUUCACUAACCACGCAUAACAUUUUUUUUCUCAAAAACACAAUCAUGUACAUACAUGCUGCUCACAUAUUAUUAUAGCCCAGUUUGUGCUGAUUACAGUGAGAUUAGACUUUAGCCAUUUAGAUAUUUAUAAGAAACUGAAAAAAGCACAAAUGUCAGGGCAUGACAAAACUUCUCCAGGCCCCAAAAAUACCCUUAGACUCCAGAGGGUUAAAUUCUAUAUUUCUGAAGAAUUCUCCAGUGUCUCCUCACUCCUUCCCAAAUGUAAUUGUGACAACUCAUCAGUGGAUUCUCUGCAGUGAAUGGAUGCCGUCAGAAUGAGAGUCCAAACAGCUGAUAAAAACAUCACAAUAAUCCACAAGAAUGCUGUCCAUGAGGAAACAAGUUCUAGGAUGGCCUGAGGAUGGUGACAAACUGUUUGAUGUGAGACAGAAAGAGAGUGACAGCUGUGAACUAAAAGAAGGGAGAAAGAGAACGCAGAGAGACAGGAGAAGAGUGAUGGAGACAGCGAGGAUGAGGUGGAUGCAACACUAACAUCAUGACUACAAAAAGAGAAAAUGUCAUGCACAUUUGAAUGAUGCAUCAUGUCCUGUUUAUGACAUUACAGUAAUUCACACAUUUAAAUUUUGACUGUUCAAUGAUGCACACAAAAACAUACUAUUUAAAGCACAAGUCCAAAAAUGCAUAACCACCUGCUGAAACCAACCUUUAGUGCUAUAUGAACAUAUUUUCAGAGUUUUUUUUUUAAAUAAAAUUAUAUAUAAUUUUUUUUUUCUUAAAAUA
Molecule: long non-coding RNA, 1211 nt
Organism: Cyprinus carpio (common carp)
Lineage: Eukaryota; Metazoa; Chordata; Actinopteri; Cypriniformes; Cyprinidae
Source: Ensembl